This 253-nucleotide ribosomal RNA is filed under the name uncultured bacterium. RNAcentral's name for it is "partial 16S ribosomal RNA". It matches the Rfam family "Bacterial small subunit ribosomal RNA", at positions 524 to 776 of the family's 1533-position model. The record is from RNAcentral.
UACAGAGGUCUCGAGCGUUAGUCGGAUUUAUUGGGCUUAAAGCGCGCGCAGGCGGUUCCUUAAGUCUGAUGUGAAAGCCCACGGCUCAACCGUGGAGGGUCAUUGGAAACUGGGGGACUUGAGUGCAGAAGAGGAGAGCGGAAUUCCACGUGUAGCGGUGAAAUGCGUAGAGAUGUGGAGGAACAGCAGUGGCGAAGGCGGCUCUCUGGUCUGUAACUGACGCUGAGGCGCGAAAGCGUGGGGAGCAAACAGG